AAUGAACGCUGGCGGCAUGCCUAACACAUGCAAGUCGAGCGAGACCUUCGGGUCUAGUUGCGCACGGGUGCGUAACGCGUGGGAACCUGCCCUUAGGUUCGGCAUAACUCCCCGACAGGGGUGCUUAAACCGGCUAAUGUCUUCCGACCAAAGAUUUUUCGCCUUUGGAUGGGCCCGCGUUGGAUUAGCUAGUUGGUAGGGUAAAAGCCUGCCACGGCGACGUUCCUUAGCUGGUAUGAGAGGAUGAACAGCCACACGGGGACUAAGACACGGCGCAGUCAGCUACGGUGAGCAGCAGGGGGGAGUAUUAAACAACGGGCUAGAGUCUGAGCCAGCAAUGCCGCGGGAGGUAUGAAGGCCUUAUGGGGGUAAAGCGCGUUUACCCGGGAGGAUAUUGAAGGUACCGGGAGAAUAAGCACCGGCUAAUUCCGUG
RNAcentral lists this ribosomal RNA (433 nucleotides) under uncultured bacterium. RNAcentral describes it as "partial 16S ribosomal RNA". It matches the Rfam family "Bacterial small subunit ribosomal RNA", at positions 29 to 507 of the family's 1533-position model. The record is from RNAcentral.